AGCCUGGGAGCUGCGAGAAGGGAAGGACAGGUCCUGGGACCAUAAGCUCGCGUGUCUCCACAGUUGCACAUUCCCGUCCGUCUGCAGCUCAUUAUCUGGGCCACAAGGACGUUACCCCAUGACUUGGAAGGACGCGCCAUCACGCAGGAGGUCACAAAGUGGACGGCAGGAAAGCCAGCCUUCCCUCUUCUGCCUUCCUCCUCACCUCUCUCUCUCUCUCUCAGUACUUUGUUCUUGUUAAUAUCAGUGUAUCAAUGAGCCUGGUUUUUUGCCUUUUAUUAUUAUUAUUAACAUAGUGAGCACAGGCGUUUCGUACUCUGCGUCUGAUUUUCCAGCAGCGAAGCCUCUGCCAUCCGCCCCACCGUCCCGCUGGCUCUUGCUCAUUGUCUUUCCCUUCCCUGCUUGCCUGCUCCCUCACGCCCCUGCUCUGCGUGUUGGAUGUGAAAAGGAUGUCAGGGACUAGGCGGAGGGCAUGUUCCUCCGAGCCCAGGCUGCACCUUGGCACAGUGGAGGGUCCACCCACCCCAGGUAGCCCAGGUGAGGCCCCUGGGUCCCCCUGUCACUCAGGCUGUCCACAUGAAAGUCCAGAUGUCUCCGACCAACAGAUCCCUGGGAGAAAGGACGUGACGCUGCCGCUUCACCGGGAUGGGUUCCCACGUCCCUCCGCGUUGACCCACAGCUUCCUUACGGUCUUGUAUGUAGUUUGAUGCUUUUAAGGGCCGGCCACGGUGGCUCAACGCCUGUAAUCCCAGCACUUUGGGAGGCCAAGGUGGGCGGAUCAUGAGGUCAGGAAUUCGAGACCAGCCUAGCCAAAAUGGUGAAACCCCGUCUCUACUAAAAAAUACAAAAAUUAGCAGGCACGAUGGCGGGCCCCUGUAAUCCCAGCUACUUGGGAGGCUGAGGCAGGAGAAUCGCUUAAACCCGGGAGGCGGAGUUUGCAGUGAGCCGAGAUCGCGCCACUGCACUCUAGCUUGGGCAACACAGCAAGACUCCGUCUCAAAAAAAAAAUUGUUAAGACUAUUUUAUCCAGGUUCCUACUUGUUUUCAGUUAUGGGGUUGGGGGCGGGGUGGGAGGGCAAUGACCUGACACAGUGUUACCGGAUGAGGAGUCUGGUCUUGCUUUGCUUUCUCUGCCUUUUCUGUCUUGUCAUUGGCUCUCCCGCCCUCCUACACGCACCCCGCCUGUUGCUUCUCUCAUUCUCCAGUUCCCUUCCAAUCCCCCUUCACUUCUCUUUACUCCCCUCCCCCAGGUCAGUGCUCGGCGUUUCCUCCCUCUUUCUGUUCUCCCAUCCUCCCGGGCAGCUGUCUCUGUCCUGUUCUGUCUCCUGUUCUCCCGCCCCUCCAGCUCCUUCCCUUCCUCCUUUCUCCUGGGCCCUUCUCUGCCGCACCUUCCACAGCUGCUCUGUUCCUCCCCAUCCUCGUCUAGUCCCAUUCGUUGUCCUUUCUCUCCCUGGGUCACAGAGAUGGCCCCGGGGUGGCUGCGCCCUGUUGAGGCAGGGAACGUUUCUGCUGCAUGGCCGAGUUCCCAACCUGGACCCGCCGGGUCUGGCAGCCUGUCCCCGCAGUAGCCUGGGCUGUGCCCACGACACCCCCGCCGCCCAGCUACCCGGCCCUCUCCGUGCCUCACACUGGCUCCUAACCUGCUUCACGUUCCUGCUUCCUGCCCCGGUCUCUGGGCUGACGCUGUCUUAGGGGCGCCCCCUCCUCAGCUGGAGGGGCAUGGUCCUCUGUCGCUACUUCCAAUCCUCUCUCCCUUCUUUCUCUCCAUAUUGCUCUUCCACACUCAUGCACCUCUUCUUUCCUUUCUGCUUUUUUUCUCGCUCACUCACCCGCUGGAGUGCAGUAGUGCAGCCUCCACCUCCCAGGCUCCAGUGAUCCUCCUGCCUUAGCCUCUCAAAGUGCUGGGACCACAGGUGCGAGGCACCAUGCCCGGCCUGUUCUUUUCUCUCUGCCCUUUUUUGUAUUUUUUCCUUUCUCCUUUCCUUCUUCCCUAAUGUCUGUCUCUCUCCUUCCCUUCUUAACUUCCCUUCUCUCUCCAGCCCUCUCCUACCCUCCUUUUCUCUUUUCCCCUAUCUCCAGCCCUCUCCUACCCUCCUUCCCUCCCUCUUUCUCUCUCCCCCUCCGCACCGCUCCAUCUCCCUCUCGGUCCAGUCCGCUGUCUGUGCCCCCUCUCUGUUCCGUUUUCUCUCCCACCCUUCUUCCCUCUCCCAUUUCUUCUCUUUUCCCCUCUUCCUGUUCUCUUUUUCUCGCUGUCCUCUCUGUGGCCACCCUCCUUUUUCUCACUUCUGCUCUCCCUGUCCGGCUCUUCUCUCUCCUCUCUCCCUUCUAGCAGAUUCUCUGGCUGUUUCCUCUCCUCUCCCUCUGUGCUCCUCCCUCCUCCUCUCUCCUCCCAGCCACUAUCCUCUCUCUUCACCCUCUUCUCUUUCUGUCUCAUGGUCUCCUCCUAGCUCUUUUCCUUCCCAGUUCCUAGCUCUCUCCUUUCUCUUUCCUCUUCUCUGGCUGGAGCUCCCCGCUCCUCCAUCCCUCCCUCUCCCGGGGCCCCCUCUCCCCCACCCUCUUCUCCCCCAACACCCUCUCCCCCACCCACUUCUCCCUAGGACGCUCCCUCCUUCACCCGUUUCUCUGCUUCCCUCUUCUCCGAGCUCACCAGCCAUGGCACCCACCCUCUCCCUCUCUUCCUUCCUGUCCCUUUUUUCACCCCCUCGUCUUUCUUUCCUCUUCUGUUUUUUCUUCUCUUUCCACUUCUGACCCCCUACACUGUUUCCUUCUUUCUCCCUCUUCCUCUCUCCCCUCCUGCUCUGGCCAUCUUUUCUUUUUUUUUUUUUUUUUUUUUUUGAGACGGAGUCUCGCUCUGUCGCCCAGGCUGGAGUGCAGUGGCGCAAUCUCGGCUCACUGCAAGCUCCGCCUCCAGGGUUCACGCCAUUCUCCUGCCUCAGCCUCCCGAGUAGCUGGGACUACAGGCGCCUGCCACCAUGCCCUGCUAAUUUUUUUUUUGUAUUUUUAGUAGAGACAGGGUUUCACCGUGUUAGCCAGGACGGUCUCGAUCUCCUCACCUCGUGAUCUGCCUGCCUUGGCCUCCCAAAGUGCUGGGAUUACAGGCGUGAGCCACCGUGCCCGGCUCUUUCCUCCUGCUUUUUUCCUACACUCUCUCCUCCCUCCUCUCCUCCCUCUUUCUCCUGUUUGAUUUCCACCUCUUUUCUCUCCUCUCUCCUCUGAAUCUGCCUCUUCCUCUUCUCACCUCCCUCUUCCUUCCCUGUCUCUCCCCCUUGGGUCUCUCUUCCUUCCCUCUCUCUGGUUUCUCUGUCUCUGCCCUGUCCUUUCCUUUCCCUCCUCUCUGGACCUGUCUCCUCUCCUGGCUCUCUCUCCUUCAAGCUCUCACUCCCACUGGCCUCCCUCCCGGGAGCCCCGUCUCCUCCGUCUCCAGGUGGCCCCUGCAUCCCUGCCUGGUGGGCCUUUGCCUCCCUCUCCUGUUCCUGCCUUGCCUGCUCCCAGGUUUCCAGGUCCUGACCAGGAGGCAGGAGUCCAUACCGAGGCCCAAACAGGCUAGCCCUGAGCAGGGCCCCCAAGCCUGAGGCCCAGGAGUGGACAGACCUUUGUGACACCCAUUCUCUCUUCCUUUUCCAUCUGUCCGGAACUCUGGACACUGCCUGGAGGAAUCAGGCCUGCCGUAGGCCCAGGAAGGCGGAAACAAAGACGACGCUCAGAGACAGGAAGCAACUUGCCUAAAGAUACACAGCACAAAUGAGAAAAUUGGUGCCCAAUGUUUCUGAAGACCAGCAACUGCUAAGACAGAGACUUCGAGGGAACCCGACCUUGCCUGAAGGACCAACAGCGCCCCCUGCAGGACACUUCCCUCCAUUGAGAGAAGCCACAGGCGCCGGCCUGAGGCAUUCUGAGUGCGUGGAAUCCUCUAUUACCACCUCCUGGCAAAGAACGGAGCUGCAACCCAGCUAUAUGAGACACCGAGAAUGAUCUCAACAAAAAGGAACAGUGACCAGAAUGCCUGGGGGAGGAACAGGGGAUACUGGGUGGAAGGAGGGGAGAGGGAGAAGUUGUAAUAUUUUGUAAAAAUGAACAUUUUUACUCCUAAUCAAUAUACAAACAUCAUGCUCAGCAAACUUCUUGGUAUGAAACUUCUGAACUUCACACAUUUUCAAGUCAUUCUAUGGGUGGGUGGAUUGGCUCCCAUGGAAAUGCAACUGGGACUGCACAUGGGAAACAAAGGAAAAUGGAAUUUGGUUCACACAAACCUGUUUGGGAGAUUGCAUUUCCAGGAAAUGGGCCAAAUUGAGUUUGUUUCCUUUGUAACAACAUUGUUGUGCCUUGCUGACUGGAAGGUGGGUACAAAUAAAGGAGGAUGGACUGACAGCUGAAGAGGCACCAGUAAUUAGCCCCUAAUCCUUACCAGGGAGUCUCUCUGAUGGGUUAAAGAAGCCUACAGAGGCCAGGGGCGGUGGCUCACACAUGUAAUCCCAGCACUUUAGGAGACUAAGGUGGAUCGCUUGAGGUCAGGAGUUCAAGACCAGCCUGGCCAACAUGGUGAAACCCGGUCUCUACUAAAAAUACAAAAAUUGGCUGGGUGUGGUGGCACACGGUUGUAAUCCCAGCUACUCAGGAGGCUGAGGCAAGAGAAUUGCUUGAACCUGGGAGGUGGAGGUUGCAUUGAGCCAAAAUUGAGCCACUGCACUCCAGCCUGGGUGACAAGUGAAACUCCAUCCCACAAACACACCUGCCCCCCACCCACCAAAAAAAAAGGAGCCUAUAGUUUCCAGUAGACAAUUUGGGGUUAGUAAAGAAUUUUACAAAAUACUAAAUGUAGUCUUGUAUAUUUUAGGAUUGUUUGCCAUGCAACUAUGUACUGGGAGCACCUAAAUGCCCACAUGAAACCCUAGGCUGGGAAGAGGAAGGCUUUCGCAAUGCCACGCAGCCGAUAACAUUUUCUGGUGGCAGGAAAUGGGAGGGAGCAACCCCUCCUGGAGCAUUUACCUUGCCAGGUGCUCUCACAUCUUAGACCAGAAGUCACGAGGCUAGGAUGAGGGUCCAGGAGGCAGAGAAUGAGGAUUGAGUUAGGGUCAGGACAGUGGACACAGAGAGGAGGAGACACAGAAGGAUGGGUUGGGACUCUAUCCUGGGGGAGGUGAGAGGCCACGCGGAGGGCUGUGAGCAGGGGAGUAGUGAGGUCAGCUCUAGUGUCAGGAAGCUCUCCAUUAGGGGGAUGGACUGAGGGGGGGAUGUUGGGGGCUGGGAGGCCAAAGAGGAGGCUGGGCCGAUGGUCCAGGUGGCAGAGGACGAGGCUUGAGCUGGGACCAAGGCCAUGGAGACAGAGGUGACGGGAUGAGGCCAGGAAGAACUUUAGGGGUAGGUAUGGUGGUGCAUAGGAGAACGUGAUUGGGACAGGGCAGUGCUCUGGUCCAUGAGGUUGGGCAGGUGAUGGCACCACUCACUGGAACAAAGAUCCCUGGAGGAGCACCCGAUCCGGGCAGGUGGGAGGCACUGGCUCCUUUAGUGGCCCCUGAGGCACAUCCUGGGGAAGGAGCCCAGGAGGCAGCUGGGGCCAUGAGUCUGGAGAUCAGGGGUGGGAUCUGAGCUGGAGAUGAGUUGGGGAAUCGCUGGUGAAGAGGGGCUGUCUGGAACCUCCAGGGUGAAGGGAUGGGGCAGACACCUGGAGUAGCAAGGGGGAAGCAUGCACCACCAUCACACACACAUCCCUCUCCCCCAGCAAGGUGGGGCCCCACCGGGCCAUGUCUUCCACAGACACAUAUGUGUGCAAAAUGAUGCAGCAGAACAGGGGGACUCCUGCAGUGCUGCUUAGAACUACUCAAAUCCAGCAACACACUCUUACACCAGAGAUGGAAUAAGAUGGCACCUUAUACCAGAGAUGGAAACUGCCCCAGCUAUGUCAAAAGAAGGUGGGGGAAAAGAGCAACACUUGCAAAACUGUUGACAUGUGCAUCUGCUUGUUUCUGUGGAGAGUAUCUGCAGCAUACCAGGGGACAGAAAACUCAGGCUGCCUCCAGGGAGGGGAAGUGGGUGCUGGAGCCCAGAGUGAGCAUACAGUUUCUGGACGUGGAUUCCACUGCAUCUUUUGUCUAUUCUGGAGACAGGGUCUCACUCUGUCACCCAGGCUGGAGUAAAGUGAUUCAAUCACAGCUCAGGAAGCAUCGAACUCUGGGGCUCAAGCGAUCCUCCUGUCUCAGCCUCCCAAACAGCUGGGACUACAAGCAUGAAUCACUAUGCCUGGCCAACCUACUCUAUCUUUUGAGUUUCAUACUUCAUCCCUGGAUAACCCGGUCAAUAAUCAGGUUUAUAAAGAUCCCAAUGUUUAACCCAGGAAAAAUAAGAUGUUCCCCCAGUGCCGGGGUAGAAGACAUCUGCAGAUCAGACACAGGGACCAGGACUCCAAGUUGGGAACACUUCCCAAAAAGCAUCAGUAGGCCUGGCGCAGUGGCUCAUGCCUGUAAUCCCAGCACUUUGGGAAGCUGAGGCAGGUAGAUCACCUGAGGUCAGGAGUUCAAGACUAGCCUGGCCAACAUGGUGAAACCCUGUCUCUACUAACAAUACAAAAAUUAGCCAGGUGUGUUGGCGGGCGCCUGCAAUCCCCGCUAUUUGGGAGGCUGAUGCAGGAGAAUCGCUUAAACUCAGGAAGCGGAGGUUGCAGUGAGCUGAGAUCGUGCCAUUGUACUCCAGCCUGGAUGACAGAGCGAGACUCUGCCUCAAAAAAAAAAAAAAAAAAAAAAAAAAAGCAUUAGUAAAUAUUUCUGGAAUCCUCUAGGAAAAGAAUGAAGCAGGAUUCACAUGGAAUGAAGACAGAAAAAGCAUAAGCUAUCUCCUGCAGGUGGAGAAAGAAACAGAAGUUAGCAAUGCUAAGACUAUCUUCUUUAUUAAAGUUACCAAAAAUAGGCCAGGCGCGGUGGCUCACGCCUGUAAUCCCAGCACUUUGGGAAGCCGAGGCAGGUGGAUCACUCGAGUCCAGCAGUUCACGACCAGCCUGGGCAAUAUGGUGAAACCCCGUCUCUACAAAAAAUACAAAAACUAGCUGCGCGUGGUGGUGCACGCCUACAAUUCCAGCUACUCAGGAGGCUGAGGUGGGAGAAUCGCUGAGCCUGAGAGGUGGAGGUCGCAGUGAGUCAAGGUACCGCCACUGCACUCCAGCUUGGGUAACAGAGCAAGACCCUGACUCAAAAACAAAAAGAAGUGAUGGGAGGGAAGGCAACCUCCCACGGUGCACCACCUCCUGGUCUUGACAGUCGACUCACAAACCAUCACUUGUUUAUAAACGCGUUUCCGAUCUGCCAUCGUAAUUCCAUUUUAGUCAUGCAUCCCGAGAUCAUUCAAACCACACCCAAGAGAGACUGGACGACAGCACUCACUAGGGUGCUAUUUAUAACCAUACAAUGCAGGAGGCUAGCUGCGUGUCGAUCUGGGGGACAGUUUAAUAAACUGCCACACAACACAGCUGAGCUCCACACAGCCACAUGAGGAUGGGGACAGCCAUUCCUUGGGUUUCUGAAUAACGUAUCAAGUGAGCAGUGAAUUUCAAUCAAGCUUGUACAUCAGGACCGUCUUGCCAAAACAACAGUUGCUUUUGGAUGCUGGGCGGCGGGGGGUGGUGGAGGGGGUUCUAUUUACAGUGUCUGGGCUUUGACUCCACUAACUGU
RNAcentral lists this long non-coding RNA (7658 nucleotides) under Homo sapiens (human). Its description in RNAcentral is "non-protein coding lnc-FAM71E1-2:4". Lineage: Eukaryota; Metazoa; Chordata; Mammalia; Primates; Hominidae. The record is from RNAcentral.